This 76-nucleotide transfer RNA is filed under the name Candidatus Fermentithermobacillus carboniphilus. RNAcentral's name for it is "tRNA-Thr". It matches the Rfam family "tRNA". From Rfam's summary of the family: Transfer RNA (tRNA) molecules are approximately 80 nucleotides in length. Their secondary structure includes four short double-helical elements and three loops (D, anti-codon, and T loops). Lineage: Bacteria; Bacillati; Bacillota; Candidatus Fermentithermobacillia; Candidatus Fermentithermobacillales; Candidatus Fermentithermobacillaceae. RNAcentral also lists the same sequence under 1 other name. The record is from RNAcentral.
GCCAGCCUAGCUCAACCGGCAGAGCAACUGAUUUGUAAUCAGUAGGUUAUGGGUUCGAGUCCCAUGGCUGGCUCCA